Molecule: ribosomal RNA, 138 nt
Filed under: Aliivibrio finisterrensis
Lineage: Bacteria; Pseudomonadati; Pseudomonadota; Gammaproteobacteria; Vibrionales; Vibrionaceae
Description: partial 16S ribosomal RNA
Rfam family: Bacterial small subunit ribosomal RNA
Source: RNAcentral
CCAGAAGUGGUUAGUUUAACCCCUUUUCUUCGGAUUAGGGGAGGACGAUCACCACGGUGUGGUUCAUGACUGGGGUGAAGUCGUAACAAGGUAGCCCUAGGGGAACCUGGGGCUGGAUCACCUCCUUAAACGAUAGAU